AAUCUUCCACAAUGGACGAAAGUCUGAUGGAGCAACGCCGCGUGAGUGAAGAAGGNUCNNGGAUCNUNAAGCUCUGUUGUAAGNNNNNAACAAGUACAGGAGUAACUGUCUGUACCUUGACGGUACCCAAUGAGGAAGCCCCGGCUAACUACGUGCCAGCAGCCGCGGUAAUACGUAGGGGGCGAGCGUUGUCCGGAAUUACUGGGCGUAAAGGGUACGUAGGCGGCUAUAUAAGUCAGGUGUGAAAUACCAGUGCUUAACACUGGAAUUGCAUUUGAAACUGUGUAGCUUGAGUGCAGGAGAGGAAAGUGGAAUUCCUAGUGUAGCGGUGAAAUGCGUAGAGAUUAGGAGGAACACCAGUGGCGAAGGCGACUUUCUGGACUGUAACUGACGCUGAGGUACGAAAGCGUGGGUAGCGAACA
This 422-nucleotide ribosomal RNA is filed under the name uncultured bacterium. Its description in RNAcentral is "partial 16S ribosomal RNA". It matches the Rfam family "Bacterial small subunit ribosomal RNA", at positions 360 to 774 of the family's 1533-position model. The record is from RNAcentral.